UACGUAAGGGUGCAACGUUAGCGUGAAUUAUUGGGCGUAAAGCGCACGUAGGCGGCCAACUAAGUCGGAUGUGAAAUCCCCAGGCUCAACCUGGGAACUGCAUCCGAUACUGGAUGGCUUGAAUUCGGGAGAGGGAUGCAGAAUUCCAGGUGUAGCGGUGAAAUGCGUAGAUAUCUGGAGGAAUACCGGUGGCGAAGGCGGCAUCCUGGACCGACAUUGACGCUGAGGAGCGAAAGCCAGGGGAGCAAACGGG
RNAcentral lists this ribosomal RNA (253 nucleotides) under uncultured bacterium. Its description in RNAcentral is "partial 16S ribosomal RNA". It matches the Rfam family "Bacterial small subunit ribosomal RNA", at positions 524 to 776 of the family's 1533-position model. The record is from RNAcentral.